Molecule: unclassified non-coding RNA, 200 nt
Organism: Aotus nancymaae (Ma's night monkey)
Lineage: Eukaryota; Metazoa; Chordata; Mammalia; Primates; Aotidae
Source: Ensembl
UUAAUUAUUUCUAAGUAUGAAAGAUUCCAUCCAAACUUUGAAAUGUCCUUUGCCCUCUACAUGAAAAUGUGUGCUUAUGUGCAUUCAUGAAGGGAAGAGAAAUGAUAGAUUCUCUAAUAAGAGCUGGUACCAAACUCAGCCUACGCAGCUGCUGUGAACUGUGUCAUUAAAAUUUUGAUGUGAUGUAAGAUUUGGGAAUU